UACGUAGGGUGCAAGCGUUGUCCGGAAUUAUUGGGCGUAAAGAGCGUGUAGGCGGUUUGGUAGGUCCGCUGUGAAAACUCGAGGCUCAACCUCGAGACGCCGGUGGAAACCAUCAGACUAGAGUCCGGAAGAGGAGAGUGGAAUUCCUGGUGUAGCGGUGAAAUGCGCAGAUAUCAGGAGGAACACCGGUGGCGAAGGCGGGUCUCUGGGCCGAUACUGACGCUGAGGAGCGAAAGCGUGGGGAGCGAACAGG
This 253-nucleotide ribosomal RNA is filed under the name uncultured bacterium. Its description in RNAcentral is "partial 16S ribosomal RNA". It matches the Rfam family "Bacterial small subunit ribosomal RNA", at positions 524 to 776 of the family's 1533-position model. The record is from RNAcentral.